This 23-nucleotide non-coding RNA is filed under the name Cricetulus griseus (Chinese hamster). The record is from RNAcentral. Lineage: Eukaryota; Metazoa; Chordata; Mammalia; Rodentia; Cricetidae.
UGGAGAGGAGGAGGGCAUGAAGU